UCCGACGCCACCCCUUAUAUCCGCCUGAUACCGCUUAGUUAUACCGCUCAAAACCCCGGUAUUGUUUAGUCGGGUAGAAAGCACGCCUCUCGCUCUCUCCGUCCUCAUCGCCUUCGUCCCGAAUCGUUUGCUCUCUCCAUCUCGCAACGCUUGCAACUUCUCCUCCUCCUUCUCUGUUCUGCCCUCCAGCAACUUCUCCUCCUCCUCUGUUCCGCUUUCCUGCAAUUUUUCUUUCAAUUUUUCCUGCAAUAUUUCCCAGAUUCUCCUCCUCCUCCUCCUUCUCUGUUUCGCCCUCCUGCAACUUCUCCUCAUUUUCUCUGUUCCGCCCUCCUGCAAUAUUUAUUGCAAUUUUUCCCAGGUUCUUCUCCUCCUCCUUCUCUGUUCUGCCCUCCUGCAAUUUUCUUCUUCUUCUCUCACUACUCUGCCCUCCUCCUCCUAUUUUUCUUCCAAUUUUUUUUUUCAAUUGAUUGCAGAUUUGCGUUUUAAUUAAAAUUUUAGGGUUUUCAGUUUUCAGAUCUUAAAAAAAAAAAAAAGAAAUUGAUCUGUUAUUUUUUUGCUUGUGCGCCCUGAGUUGGGUAUGUUGCGAAUUCAAACCCAGUUGAAGAAAUGGGUUAGGAGAUUUUUCCAACUUUUUGGCUUUUUGGUGAAUUCAUAAUAUCAUGCAUACUGGGUUCGUGUGCUGGUUUGGCUGCAGGAAGGUCUGGAGAGCAGAUCCAGGGAUGAAAUUCAGUAAAAAUUUGUUUUUUUUUCCCCCUAUUUUCUUGAAUUAUCAAUUGUUUUAUCCGAUGUUAAACCAAACACCCUAUAAAAUUAUAGAGUCAUUAAUCCGAUAUUGCACAAAACAUCUGAUUAAUUUAAUCAGUACUUUUCAAUGACUAUUUAUCCUUUCCACUAAAAUAGUCACAAAGCCUUCUUCUCCGUCGGUUUUUCUUUUUCGUUUUUCUUUUCUUUUCUAGAACUCUGUAUUCCCUUCCUCCUUCCGUUUCUUCAUCUGUAUUCCCCAAAUUAGUCAAAGUGCACAGAUUGAUAAUUACAAAAUGGAGACAUGCCUCAUCUUCAAUUCUCAAUUCCUAAUUUUUCCCCCAAAUUUCCAAUUCCCACCAAAAACUCCAAUGCUGCUCCUUCCAAAUCCAUCGGCGGCCAUGGUGAGUUUUCCCGUCCGACAACCUCUCUCUCUCUCUCUCUUUCCUUUGUUUUCUCAUCUAAAUCCAUCUGGCCAAAUCCUUCUCUCCCCCAAUUCCGCCGGCAGCCAUGGCGAGUUUUCCCGUUUGGGUGGUUCUGAUUCUAAGAUUUUUGGGGGUUCUGGGUCGUAAUCGGAUUCUGGGUAGCUCUGCACUCCUUUGCGAGGUAAGCUUGUGGUGGUGGCUCGAGGGAUUCUGGGAAGACAAGAGGCAGUGACAUAGUCCUAGCUAAUACCAAGGUUUCAGUCGGGACUAGCUAGCGACGCUUAGCGAAGUCCGGAGUGGAGGCGAGUCCGACAUAGCGCCAUUUAAGUUAGUCCCUUGCUACGCCAAACACAGGACUACACGGACUGUUAGUCCCGUCCUGUCCAAUAUAAGAAUCAAAAUGUUGCUGUAAAAAUUGUUCAUAGAGGAGAAACCCCAGAGCAGAUUGCCAAGAGAGAAGCGCGGUUUGCGAGGGAAGUGGCAAUGAUGUCGAAAGUGCGGCACAAAAACUUGGUGCAGGUACACGAAAUUCAAUUUCAUUCCUUACAGGGGCCAAAUGGGAGAAUCUUCUGAUGAAGCU
Long non-coding RNA from Pyrus x bretschneideri (Chinese white pear), 1746 nucleotides. RefSeq lists it as uncharacterized. The transcript is spliced from 3 exons. The record is from RefSeq and is a predicted model, not a curated record. Lineage: Eukaryota; Viridiplantae; Streptophyta; Magnoliopsida; Rosales; Rosaceae.